GCCCGCCUAGCUCAAUCGGAUAGAGCGUCAGACUUUUAAGGCAGGGCAGUGCGAACCUUUCACAUCUGAAGGCUGCGAGUUCGACCCUCGCGGUGGGCU
This is a non-coding RNA of Hymenopellis radicata, 99 nucleotides long. NCBI's taxonomy places the organism in Eukaryota, Fungi, Basidiomycota, Agaricomycetes, Agaricales, Physalacriaceae. The record is from the annotation of a GenBank genome assembly.